Molecule: long non-coding RNA, 760 nt
Organism: Eptesicus fuscus (big brown bat)
Lineage: Eukaryota; Metazoa; Chordata; Mammalia; Chiroptera; Vespertilionidae
Exons: 4
Source: RefSeq, a predicted model, not a curated record
GGAUGAAGAAGUGACCUAAAGAGCCUGACUUCCCACAAUGAAAAAGAAAAAGUGAUUGUAUCUGGAUGGCUGUUGCUGUUGAAGAGAGAAACUGCUUUGGAGUGGAGGCAAGACUGGAAUAGCAGAAGCCCUUAGAUGUCACAAGUCACAACUUUCUCUUUGAAGUGAGACUGCAGAUGGAGGCAUAUGCCUUGAUGACUCAGAAAUGGCUGGAUCUGUCAGGAGUCAGGUUGACAUGGAAGAUAAGCACCAAUUUGUGGUACCGGCAGAACAAUGAAAGCAAAGUUCACCAAGGUACAAAGGCAGAAGAUAUUUUCACAGGCCCCAGAAGAUGAACUUCAAGCUGCUACUCCCAAACACAUUCUCCACUGUCUGGAAGACGUGCAAAGGCAGCGUUCUCCAUCUGAAAUCCUUCAAAGUGCUGUGGGAAUAAAAGGCUCCCCGCCAAAAGCCCCAGAGAGAGCUCUAUUGAAACCUCAUGAAUGGAACUGAGAAUUCCUUGUUACAAUACUGUUUGUUUCUUGGGUCCUAUCCUUGUAUCUAAGAGGACAUCAAAAUAAAUGACAAAAACAAGACAUUGUUGGGUUGGUCUAUGAGAAAUUUUCUGAUAGGUGAUUUUGCAUCUAGAUUUCUUUUCUCUGCUAAUCAUUUGCCUUUCUAGUUGGGCGUCAUUUUCACCUUUUCCCUAUUCUGGUGUCAACAUCCAGGUUUAUAUUCACGAUUGUAUUUUUUGUUUCAGCAACAGAGAUUACAAUGUAUG